Molecule: ribosomal RNA, 443 nt
Filed under: Vibrio sp. HI00D65
Lineage: Bacteria; Pseudomonadati; Pseudomonadota; Gammaproteobacteria; Vibrionales; Vibrionaceae
Description: bacterial LSU rRNA
Rfam family: Bacterial large subunit ribosomal RNA
Source: RNAcentral
GAGUGAAAAACUCCCUCGCCGGAAGACCAAGGGUUCCUGUCCAACGUUAAUCGGGGCAGGGUAAGUCGACCCCUAAGGCGAGGCCGAAAGGCGUAGUCGAUGGGAAACGGGUUAAUAUUCCCGUACUUCUUACAAUUGCGAUGGGGGGACGGAGAAGGCUAGGUGGGCCUGGCGACGGUUGUCCAGGUUCAAGUACGUAGGCGGAAAGUUUAGGUAAAUCCGGACUUUCAUAACGCUGAGAUACGAUGUCGAGCUACUACGGUAGUGAAGUCAUUGAUGCCAUGCUUCCAGGAAAAGCCUCUAAGCUUCAGAUUGUAAGGAAUCGUACCCCAAACCGACACAGGUGGUCGGGUAGAGAAUACCAAGGCGCUUGAGAGAACUCGGGUGAAGGAACUAGGCAAAAUGGUACCGUAACUUCGGGAGAAGGUACGCUCUUAUCAGUG